RNAcentral lists this ribosomal RNA (524 nucleotides) under uncultured soil bacterium. RNAcentral's name for it is "bacterial SSU rRNA". It matches the Rfam family "Bacterial small subunit ribosomal RNA", at positions 35 to 573 of the family's 1533-position model. The record is from RNAcentral.
GCUGGCGGCGUGCUUAACACAUGCAAGUCGAGUGCGCGUACCGUAGCAAUACGGUAUGGCGCACGGCGCACGGGUGCGUAACACGUGGGUAACCUGCCCUUUGAUGGGGAAUAACCCCGGGAAACCGGGGCUAAUUCCGCAUAAGAUCCGCAAGGAUGAAAGCCGUAAGGCGUCGAAGGAGGGGCCCGCGCACGAUUAGCUAGUUGGUGAGGUAAUGGCUCACCAAGGCUUUGAUCGUUAGCUGGUCUGAGAGGAUGGCCAGCCACACUGGAACUGAGACACGGUCCAGACUCCUACGGGAGGCAGCAGUGGGGAAUCUUGCACAAUGGGCGAAAGCCUGAUGCAGCGACGCCGCGUGGGGGAUGAAGCAUUUCGGUGUGUAAACCCCUUUCGACCCGGACGAAUACCUCGCAAGGGGGGUGACGGUACGGGUAUAAGAAGCCCCGGCUAACUACGUGCCAGCAGCCGCGGUAAGACGUAGGGGGCCAGCGUUGUUCGGAAUUACUGGGUGUAAAGGGUCAGUA